This 155-nucleotide ribosomal RNA is filed under the name uncultured bacterium. RNAcentral's name for it is "partial 16S rRNA". It matches the Rfam family "Bacterial small subunit ribosomal RNA", at positions 355 to 507 of the family's 1533-position model. The record is from RNAcentral.
UAAGGAAUAUUGGUCAAUGGACGAAAGUCUGAACCAGCCAUGCCGCGUGAAGGAUGAAGGUCCUCUGGAUUGUAAACUUCUUUUAUAUGGGACGAAAAUGGGUCUUUCUAGAUCAACUGACGGUACCAUUUGAAUAAGCACUGGCUAACUCCGUG